AAUGAUACAAUGGACAUAUUGUCUAAAGGGUACAUUCUAAGCUAAAAGAUAUUGAAAAUUUGGCGAGAAAUAACCAAUAUUUACGGAAUUAGAAUCAAUUUACAUGAGUGCGGUGACAUCAUGAAACAGAAAACGUUAAUUUUUAGUUCCGACGCCAUUUUGAUGACGUCACGAUGUUUUUAAGGGUCAAAUGUGGCAUGAAAUCAUAUUUUCUUUUCAUACUCUAUUCGAAUAGGAAAAAACAAUUGGGGGUCAACGGACUCCCUGAAGAGCUACAGUGAAUUUUAUAUAGGCAUAUUUUUGCCCAUUUACGCGCGAGUAAUGCAAAUUUGAAUGGACGCGCAUUCCCGUAUUAUUGCUCGUAAGAGGCUGAAUGAGGUAUCAAAUUAAUCAGAAGCUAAUGGACAGUGGACAGACAUAAAAUAAAUGAUGACUCGAAGAUGCAUACCGAUGGUAGGUGCAAGAACGCGCACGCAUACCUGUGCGCGCGCAAAUUCUUGACAUGCUCAAAAUGACCCGAAACGUACCCAAACUUGACCACGGUUGAUUUGGGGAAUUUUUGAAUUUUGACGCGCGCGUACGUGCGCGUCGUGACCUUUGCAUGACCUCUGAUGACAUGUCCUGAUGACCUGUCACCUGAACUUGAUAUGAUGCAAAUAUGGAUGAUUUUUUAUGAUUAGUUGCGGUAAUAUGAUCAAUAAUUCAUUUUUACAAAAUGGCGCCUAGAUGACGUCAUCAUGAUAACCUUGAAAAGUUUCGUUUCGCGAUUCCAUAAUAAUUUCCAUACAUGACAUGAAAAUCAAGAAAUUUGACAAGCCCGAUUUUGAGAUAAAGUGGGAACAAAAUUUGGCAAUAAAAAUAAAUAAAGUAAAUUCUGACGAAUAUAAUAGGUGAUCUGUCAUAUUCAUGACAGACCACCUAAUUAUAUGCCAUGAAAUGAGAUUUUUGUCAAAUACAUUUAGACAAUCUUGACAAAGUGCAGAGUGUCUUUUCAAUUAAUAUAUAGCAUAUACCUAUUUUAUGAUUUGUUUGUGUUUGCAUUUUAAAUAAAGGUUUGCAGAAACCAGACAGAGAGCCUGUGUGGAGAUGCUAUUGGCUGCCCAGGUCGGACUGCCUCCAACAUGAGGCGGUCUUGGAGUGAUCUAACAAAAGAGUGAAUGAUUAUGCUAGGAAUCAGACAAAGACUGGUGGUAAAGUGAAGCCAAAUAUGGAGAUUGUGCUGGCAGCCAUGAGGGACAAGGCCAAGCAUUGGGUCCAUGGCCAGGAGACAGAGACUGGGGCAUCUGAGCAACUGCUUUCACAUAAGGCAGCCUGCUUCUGGACAUGGGGAAGCCAGAGGAGGAAAAGGAGGUUGAGGCGGAACCUCAAGCUGUUCCCGGGGCACCAUUGACAUCCAGGGUAGAUGGGGUCUAGUUGAUUUUUAGGACACCAAGAUGACACCCAGCAUAAGAGAAGAGAAGGUGCUCUUCCUGUUAUGACCAGCACACCAAGUACCAGGAGCAUGGAUAUGCAGCAAGUUCAGCAGGAGACGCUCAGAAUGCAGCAAGCUAUGCUGCAAACAUUUAAAAUCAUCCAUGUUGAUUUUUGUAAUUAUCCACAAUUGUUUGCAGCAGUUUGUUAAUGGAAAUCAGUAGUAACAUUAAACAAUGCAACUUUCUCUGCAUUUUUUUUUUACUGGAAACCUGUUGAAUAUUGUUUUAGAAAAUGAAGUAAAUCACCUUGAACUUUGGAAAUUUCCGAAAGCAUAUAUUUUAGCAAGUAAUAUGAAAAUGAGAUAUACCAUGGUCACAUUUGGUGGCCUUACGGCUAGUCGAAAUCAGUCGUUUUAUGUAUUACUAUACAAACCACCUACAUGAAGCUGGUACAAGGAUGAGUAAAAUGGCUGAUUUUGACUCGCCAAAAUGCCACCGGCUGGCAAAUGUGACCUAGACAUAAGUUGUUGAUGUCAUUGCCUCAUAAUUUUGAACAAAAAAAUGACAAAGACUACAUUCUUCAGGAUUGAGAAAGUUAAACUUGAACUUUAUUCUCAUCUCAGUAGAUAGAAGAUAAUGUUAUUCAUUCAAUACUGCGGUAGAAUUUGAACAAAUGCCUUGCAAUGCAAAAUAAAAAUUUAGGUUCUGAAAUCUUGAUGGGAAUCCCUGUGCAAGAACAGUUUUAAAGUUUAUUUAUACAUGUUCAUAUUGCAAGUCUGUUAUAUGAUCUGUCAGCAUUGUUUGUGGAUCUCACACUGGUGUCAUUAGCCAUAGUUCCAAUCUAUAUCCUGCAUUGCCCAACAGGAUGCCUUGCAAUUCGCCAUCUGCAAAACGUUUUCCAAUGGUACUUUUAUGUUGAUUUAAAAGAAAAGGGACCUUGUAAACAUUCAAUCACAUCUUUCAAUACGCAUAUAAGGGUAUGGGAUACUGUUAGCAUUGAAAUUAAAAUAUGACUUGAUAAAAAUUAUUUUCAAUUAAAUUCAAAGUAUUAUAAUGGUUCAUAACGA
Molecule: long non-coding RNA, 2479 nt
Organism: Lytechinus pictus (painted urchin)
Lineage: Eukaryota; Metazoa; Echinodermata; Echinoidea; Temnopleuroida; Toxopneustidae
Exons: 3
Source: RefSeq, a predicted model, not a curated record